This is a non-coding RNA of Mycena rosella, 90 nucleotides long. The record is from the annotation of a GenBank genome assembly. NCBI's taxonomy places the organism in Eukaryota, Fungi, Basidiomycota, Agaricomycetes, Agaricales, Mycenaceae.
GGCUCGGUGGUGGAUGUCCACACCUACAUCCUAUGAAUGAGAAGCCCUAAAGUCAUGUAGGAGUCGUCUGUUCGAAUCAGGCCCGAGCCA